CCCUUCAAAUUCUGUUUAUCCAUUUCUCAUUUCUUUUACUACUUUCUUCUAAUCUUGAAUUAGGGUUUUUCCAAAUCUCUUACCAUGGUUUCCGAUUCGAUCAGCAUUGUUUCGAUUGCUAUGGCGUCUUCAAACCAGAAGGAUUUCGCUAAGAAGAAGAGGGGGAACAAGUCUGCCAAACUGAAACAGUACAAACUUGAUGCGCGUCGUGAGCAGUGGCUUUCUCAAUCUCAAGAUUAGCUCUAUGUUGGGAUUCCAUGAUUUGUGUUUGUCAGAGAUCACUAUCACAAUCAUGCGCUAUGGAUAAAUUGUUUGUUGAUGUUUUCUUGAGAAUCUAGGCUUACUUGUUUUGCUGACUUGUAGCAUGGUAUAUUGAGGUAAACAAAGUAACAAACUUCCAUUUUCCUAAAUAUUGUUCUUUCGAUUGUUCAUUCUUGAAAAUUAACAAAAUGUAUGUUUUGCAGAGAUUGUCCUUUUGAUGAUUGUGGUUGGUAUUAGUUCUGUUUGUCAUUCAUUCUAUAAGGAAAAUUGUUUUAGCCAUUUUUUUGGUGGAUCUUUAUGUUUGCUUUUUCAUGCGAAGUGGCUUGCACUUAUUGUAUAUUUAAUUGCAGUAUUUUACUGGUUCCUUGUACGGUCCUAGUUUUCCUGAAGAUUAUACCAAAAUUGUGCAAAGCUAAGAAAUAAGCAAGUGAUCUCAAUAUAGUUCCUAUAGCAAAUCUAUUAUGAAACCCUAUGAGAGAACUAAUCUAUUUAGAUUAAGUGUUGAAUAGAAUUAUCAAACAUAGUCUAAGAUUAUCAUUGUUAGCAUCCCCUGUGCAAAAUAACUCUCCACUGGUGUUCAAUUCACGUAGAAUGCAAUGUUUGAAAUUUUUUGUUUCACUAUUUUUUGCAUAUGAUAACUGUAAGCAUGAUUGUUGACGACAUUACUAUUUUACUAUGCAUUUGGUUCUCCUGAAAGGUUGUGAUAUUGUGGUAAUUCCUAAACAAAUAUAAUGUUCGUAUUACCCUUGAUAGGGUUUUUGAGAAGUGUUUUAGGUGAGAAUUUAGAGACAUCUCUUCAUUCAUAUCAUAGAUGGCUAGCAGCUUUACUCGAUUUGGAAACAUUUUGUAUUUCUAUUUCUGGAUGCAAAACGUUUGGUAAUGUUUGUGUUACCCUUGAUAGGGUUUUUGGAAAGUGUUUUAGGUGAGAAAGUAGAAUGGCCUAAACCCUUUAGGUGAGAAUAUAGACAUCUCUUUAAUAGAUGGCUAGAAACUCUAUUUGUAACAUAUAUUGCUCCAUUUGGAACCACUUUUGAUUUCUGUUUCUGGAUGCAAAAACGUUUGGUAAUUAAACUUAAACAAGACAUAAUUUACGUUCUUGGAUCCAAAUACAAAACUGUAACAAGGUUUUACAAUUGAGGCCAUAGAGCUAGUUGUCUAUAAUGUCAAACAACAUAGUGAGCUGAGUUGACAUAACUGCCUAGAUUAAGAUGCACAUACUAUAAAAGUUGAAGCACACGUAAAAGUUCAUUUUUCGAGGUUUUAUAGUAUAGGAGGUUUUGUGUUUAUAUUUUACUUGGUUUAUAGUGUUAUUAAGUAUUCUAUUGAAGUUAUUUCUCUAUUUGUUUACUUUUAUCUAGUAAUGCUGCAUAAAAGGUUAUCAACCUGGGGCUUUGAUGGCCACAGAUUCUAGAACCAUGGAACAUCAAUUUUGGUAUUUCUCCCAUAUUUACGGAUCUGGGUGUAUUUCAUUGAGUCACUUCGUAAAUUUAUUGAGGAAUAUGUUAGACAUGAUUCAGUUUGUCAUAUUAGAUUUUCUUAUUUGUUUAAUCUGGUGAAGUAACUUCCAAUCUGCAUGGGCAUUAUUACCUAGAUCCUUGAAUGAUGAUUGAUGACGACUUAUUAUAAGUUUCAGUCUCUUUAAGAUUUACCACCAUCACCGAGAAGGCUAAGCUUUCGCCCUUCAGGAUUUGAGAUUAGUUGACAAUCCUUAGAAGAAGCUUUAUCGUGUUUGCAGUUUCAGCAAAUGAUUCGAAUUUUGAAAAGGUAUAUAUAUAUUUUUCUUUUUCUGAAGAUUACAAAUUUUUAUGCUCUAUUAAUAUUCUGAAAACAAAGCUUAUAUCAGUCAUAUCAUGGUGUGCUUGUGCUUUCUUAAAAAAUGUUGGUAUGCAGAGCAGUUAGACAGAUAUAUAUGAAGAUCCAUUUUCAUGUUCUAAAUGGUUAAGGAUGAUGAUUGACAUUUUUUCAUUAUAGUACUCAUGUUUUUUUAUCACUUUUAUUUAGGUUUACCAAAGGAUCACCACUAAACUGUUAUGUUUUGUCAAGAUUGAUUUGCCAUUAUGUAACUAGUGUUUCUCUUGUCUUGUAUUUUGCUUGUGUUUUGUGAUCAAACCUGAAUAAUUUCAAAUUAACUAUCUUAUAUCUUCUAUAUAGCUAAUAAUUCUUCUCAA
RNA transcript from Impatiens glandulifera, 2429 nucleotides. RefSeq lists it as uncharacterized. The transcript is spliced from 3 exons. NCBI's taxonomy places the organism in Eukaryota, Viridiplantae, Streptophyta, Magnoliopsida, Ericales, Balsaminaceae. The record is from RefSeq and is a predicted model, not a curated record.